CCUACGGGUGGCUGCAGUAGGGAAUUUUGCGCAAUGGGAGAAACCCUGACGCAGCAACGCCGCGUGAUCGAUGAAGCCCUUCGGGGUGUAAAGAUCUGUCAGUGGGGACGAAACCUGACGGUACCCACAGAUGAAGCACCGGCUAACUCCGUGCCAGCAGCCGCGGUAAUACGGGGGGUGCAAGCGUUGUCCGGAAACAUUGGGCGGAAAGUGUUCGUAGGGGGUAAGUUAAGUCUGGUGGUAAAGGCGGAAGCUCAACUUCCGUAGGGCACUGGAUACUGGCGAGCGUGAAUGCGGUAGAGGUAAAGGGAAUUCCAGGUGUAGCGGUGAAAUGCGUAGAUAUCAGGAGGAACAUCGGAGGCGUAAGCGCUUUACUGGGCCGUAAUUGACACUGAGGAACGAAAGCCGGGGUAGCAAAUGGGAUUAGAUACCCCUGUAGUC
This 441-nucleotide ribosomal RNA is filed under the name uncultured bacterium. RNAcentral's name for it is "partial 16S ribosomal RNA". It matches the Rfam family "Bacterial small subunit ribosomal RNA", at positions 338 to 795 of the family's 1533-position model. The record is from RNAcentral.